GACGAACGCUGGCGGCGUGCUUAGCACAUGCAAGUCGAACGGAGCGAAUGAAAGCUUGCUUUUAUGAGCUUAGUGGCAAACGGGUGAGUAACACGUAGACAACCUGCCGACAGGAUGGGGACAACAUUCCGAAAGGAAUGCUAAUACCGAAUGAAGCGGAGGAGAGGCAUCUCUCCUCCGUGAAAGAUGGCCUCUAUUUAUAAGCUAUCACCUGUCGAUGGGUCUGCGUCUGAUUAGCUAGUUGGUGAGGUAACGGCUCACCAAGGCGACGAUCAGUAGCCGGUCUGAGAGGAUGAACGGCCACAUUGGGACUGAGACACGGCCCAGACUCCUACGGGAGGCAGCAGUGGGGAAUCUUCCGCAAUGGGCGCAAGCCUGACGGAGCAACGCCGCGUGAGUGAAGAAGGUCUUCGGAUCGUAAAGCUCUGUUGACGGGGACGAACGUGCGAAGGGUGAAUAAUCCUUUGUAAUGACGGUACCUGUCGAGGAAGCCCGG
RNAcentral lists this ribosomal RNA (496 nucleotides) under Centipeda infelix. Its description in RNAcentral is "bacterial SSU rRNA". It matches the Rfam family "Bacterial small subunit ribosomal RNA", at positions 28 to 495 of the family's 1533-position model. The record is from RNAcentral. Lineage: Bacteria; Bacillati; Bacillota; Negativicutes; Selenomonadales; Selenomonadaceae.